UUUGUUUUCUUCUACUAUAUAAGCCAACCCUGUAAUCUGUAGGAUAAACCUCUACUGAAGUCUUCCGUCUGUCUACGAUCUCAGCACCAACUGAGCUACCCGGUACUAGCCCAAACAUGUUCACCUUGAAGAAAUCCAUGUUACUCCUUUUCUUUCUUGGGACCAUCAACUUAUCUCUCUGUGAGGAAGAGAGAGAUGCCAAUGAAGAAGAGGAAAAUGGAGGGGAAGUUAAAGAGGAAGAAAAGCGAUUUAUAGGUUCCGCUCUAAAAGUACUCGCGGGUGUACUGCCUUCAGUGAUUUCUUGGGUUAAACAGGGUUAAAAAGUUGACUAAGUUUAAAAAGUAACAUUUCUGAAUGUUAAAACUGUCAUCUGAUGUGGAAUAUCAUUUAGCUAAAUGUUAAAUGUCUGAUAAAAAAUAAAAAUAUCACCCGCA
Rana temporaria (common frog) is the source of this 434-nucleotide long non-coding RNA. RefSeq lists it as uncharacterized. The record is from RefSeq and is a predicted model, not a curated record. Lineage: Eukaryota; Metazoa; Chordata; Amphibia; Anura; Ranidae. The transcript has 3 exons.